AGAGUUUGAUCCUGGCUCAGAACGAACGCUGGCGGCAUGCCUAACACAUGCAAGUCGAACGAGACCUUCGGGUCUAGUGGCGCACGGGUGCGUAACGCGUGGGAAUCUGCCCUUGGGUUCGGGAUAACAGUUGGAAACGACUGCUAAUACCAGAUGAUGUCUUCGGACCAAAGAUUUAUCGCCCAGGGAUGAGCCCGCGUAAGAUUAGCUAGUUGGUGGGGUAAAAGCCUACCAAGGCGACGAUCUUUAGCUGGUCUGAGAGGAUGAUCAGCCACACUGGGACUGAGACACGGCCCAGACUCCUACGGGAGGCAGCAGUGGGGAAUAUUGGACAAUGGGCGAAAGCCUGAUCCAGCAAUGCCGCGUGAGUGAUGAAGGCCUUAGGGUUGUAAAGCUCUUUUACCCGGGAUGAUAAUGACAGUACCGGGAAAAUAAGCCCCGGCUAACUCCGUGCCAGCAGCCGCGGUAAUACGGAGGGGGCUAGCGUUGUUCGGAAUUACUGGGCGUAAAGCGUACGUAGGCGGCUUUGUAAGUUAGAGGUGAAAGCCCGGGGCUCAACCCCGGAAUUGCCUUUAAGACUGCAUCGCUUGAAUCAUGGAGAGGUUAGUGGAAUUCCGAGUGUAGAGGUGAAAUUCGUAGAUUUCGGAAGAACACCAGUGGCGAAGGCGACUAACUGGACAUGUAUUGACGCUGAGGUACGAAAGCGUGGGGAG
This 713-nucleotide ribosomal RNA is filed under the name uncultured Alphaproteobacteria bacterium. RNAcentral describes it as "bacterial SSU rRNA". It matches the Rfam family "Bacterial small subunit ribosomal RNA", at positions 8 to 768 of the family's 1533-position model. Lineage: Bacteria; Pseudomonadati; Pseudomonadota; Alphaproteobacteria. The record is from RNAcentral.